CUACAGAGGGAGGUUCUCAGUGAUCAUUCUCCUGGGAGCAAAGAUGGGAGAAUUUUUGCAAAGAUGACCUUGGCAUUAUUUAGACAUUCAGGUAUGCACACAAUUGUGUGUGGGUGGGAGAUGGAGGGGAAGGGAGUGAGAACUCAGUGAAGAAUGGAGGAUGGUCCUUAUUUUGUUUCCUUUUGUGCUGUGACUCCCCAAGCCAGUAACCUGACUGUCUCUAAGUCAUCUUUUAUCUUCAAGGCUCUGAGGGCAACAAGAGUAUUUGAAAUUCAUGCACAUGAGAGUUGGAAAGGAACCCAUAUACAAUUAGCACAGCAUUAGAAGCUGUGGUACUCUGUAAGCAAUUGCCGCAUAUAGUACAAUAGCACUUUGAUCAUAGCUCAGUUUCAUUGACUUAUUCUGCAAAGGUUCAAUGAGUAGGCGGCUCUAGAGAAACAGGAAAUAUUUCAUCUAAAAAUCAGUUGAGUCAAGUUGUGGGCAUGGGUACAGACUCCCCAUGUUUAAUUGCAACAACUUCUGAAAAAGAAAAUUUUUCAAAAAGGAGAAGGGGGCAACUCUGCUUUAUUUUAGGCUCAAGCAAAGGCCAGUCAUUUUUUUUUUUAAGUAAAUAAAUGUUUAAUUUUAGCAUAAUCUUAUUUUUUUUGUCUUUUUGUCUUUGUAGGGAAUUUUAGCAUAAUUUUAGAUUUAGAAAAACCUUAAAGGUAAUCCAGAGAAUUCUCAUAUGUCCAGUUUCCCUAAUUCUUAACAUUUCACAUUAGUAAUGGUAUUUUUAAUACCUCUAAAAUAUGUGUUUAAAAAAAUUCAACUUCUCUGACAUCGAUGGCAUCUUGCAUUUGUCAAGGUAUGGUAGCUUAAGUCCAAGUAAGGAUUCCAUUUUCCCCACCAGUGAUUGUUUCUGCCCAAUGGAUUAGGAAGGGAAGCUUUCUGGGGGCCCCGACAGAUGCUUCCCCACUCCUAGUAAGGGGCUCAAGAAAGAUACUCCCCCCUUUUGGCUUAAGGACAUAUGUGAAUUGCCAUCACUAUCUUGUGAUAAUAGGGAAAUAACCCUGGAAAACAGAAUCAACAUGCUGAGCAUGGUAGAGUGGCAAUACGGGAAGAAUCUGGGGUUUUAAUGGUGCUGUUGACUCAUCAACAGUGGAAUCAGCCUUUCUCUGGACGUCUUGAUAUGUGUCCAAUAAAUCUCAGUUUAAAAAAUUGAGUUGCUUGCAACCAAAGCCAUCCCAAGAGUUGUAAAGGUAACAGUGAAAUAAACACAUCUUCAGAAAGUCCAUUAAGUGGUGUUAUGGAAAGGGCACUGGGACAGGAGUUAGGGGAGGUGGGUGUCAGCUUGCACAGCUGCCAACAGAUACUGGAUAUUGAUCAAGUGACUAACUCUCUGGGCUGUGGUUUUCUCAUUUCUAACAUAAAGGAUUUCAAAGGCCUCUACCAGUUCUAAAAUACUUGUUUUUUGAGUGUCUCUAGACCAAAAUCUUCUGUUAUAUUUUAGUAAGAGGGGGAGCUCACAGUGGUAAAUACCUGGCUGAAUUUCUUCAGUAGAUAAUUUCUUGACUACCAGUCCAGUGUGCUUUUUUAUUUAUGACUCCUGAUGAAGACAUUUAUUAGAACAUAUAUGAUUCACACAAGGGUGUGAAUUAUUUCAAGAUUGUACUGGUUGGGGUCCUUUGGUUGAAAGAGUCAGAAACUGAACUCAAAAUAAUUCAAGCCAAUAUAUUGGUUUCCAUGGUUGGUGGUCCUGGGAUUAAUUUGGCUUCACAGGCUAGUUCUGAGAGCUCAAACAAAGCUUCUUGCUCUCUCUCUUCUUCCCUCUAUCUUUUUUUUUUUUUUUUUUUUUUUUUUUUUUUUCUGAAGCCAGUACAUUCUUUUUUUUUAGGGCUGUCCCCACAGCACAUGGAAGUUCCCAGGCUAGGGGUCAAAUCAGAGCUGCAGCUGUAGGCCUACACUACAGCUACAGCAACGUGCAACCUACACCACAGCUCAUGGCAACGCUGGAUCCUUGACCCACUGAGCAAGGCCAGGACUGGACCUGUGUCCUCAUGGAUACUAGCUGGAUUCGUAACUCCCUGAGCCACAAGGGAACUUCCUGCCAGUUGCAUUCUUAAUUAAGGUCCCUCCGCAUAGUGGGGAACCACAGACUUAUAUUGUCCUCGCAGGUCACGAUCUUGGAGAAAUCACCUUCCUUGUAGGGGACCCAUGUUGUCUGCUCAACAAACUUUCAGAAGAAUUACACCUCUUCUAAUCCAUACAAUGGGAACAGGGUGGGCGGAGGCAACUGCCUCUCCUGCCAUAGAAGGGUGAGAUGCAUUAUCAAGCUGGCCAGUCAGUCUGUUCUACAUAAAUAAUAUAAAUCAAUUCAUUAGAAGGUACUUGUGAGAUAGGCUUUGACAUUUCUGCUUUGACAGUUUUGAAAUGUAUCAGAAUAAUUUUCCAUUUGAUGAGGUUUUUUUCACUACCUCAGAGCUCAAGUCACUGCUAAUGACACCAAUGAUUUUGAGUAGCUCCUGUGGUGGUUUAGAAGCAGAGGCUCUCAAACCUGAGCUGAUGUCAGAAUCACCAGGAGAACUUGUUAAAACACAGACUGCUGGUCCCCUCCUCCAGGGUUUCCAAGUCAGUAGGUCCAGGAUGGAGCCUGAGAAUCUGCAUUUCUAACAAGUUCCCAGGGACCCCACUUUGAGAAUCACUGCCCUAGAACAUUCAUGGGGCUUCUUACACAUAUACCACUUAGACAUACACAUCAUUAUUACAUAAGAGAAAUCUUAUAAAUUCAAGGUAUUGUGUUUAUUGCUAUGUUACAAAGAAAGAAUAAUUUUGUUUCUUCUUGUAGACAUAGCAUAACAUUUAGGGUAUACUAGGUGCCAUUUUGGAAUUGGGCUUUUGAGAGAGACAGUUGAUUUGAACGUAUCAAAGCACAUACCUGCAAAUCCUUCAAUGUGCACAGAAAUCACCUGAGGAACUUAUUAAAACAGAGAUUCUCAAUUAGGAUUUCUGGGACAGUGCUUGAGAGUUUGUGCUUCUGGCAGGCUGCCUGUAGCAAAGCUAGCCCACAUAAACAAGGCUAGCCCAUAUAAAUUCCCGGGAAACAAAAGGUUUUCUGCGUCUCCAGUCCCAACCCUGAAACAGAUGCCUGUUGGUGAAAAGAUGGCUUUCUCAUAGUGAAUUAAUGGAUGAUUUGGAAGGGGGCCAUCGCCUUCUUGCACUGUACACUUCUUGAGGGCUGGCCUCAAGAAACACAUUUCAGCCUUUCUUUAUAGCAAUUUCGUUUGGAUUCCCCAACUUUUAGUUUAGGUAGAAUCUCACUGUGACACUUUUAUAAUUUAGGUUGAAAUUCUAAUCUUCCAAACACUUAGUGAUUAAAGGACCUAGAUGCUGUGAAUAAUGCAUUCAAAUUCUCUGUGUGACUGUUUGCCUUGUACACAUGUCCAAAUGGCCUUAUUUUUUAAUUUGCGUAGUUCAAGCUGUACAUAAAGCCCUCUUUGCCCUCCAGUGGCCGUGCCCACUACAGCUCUGGCAGCUGCCUCGUCCUCCCCUAUCCCUGCUCUUUUUUUUUUUUUUUUCACUCAUUUAUUUCAAGAACUUCUGGUUUUGGUUACUAUCUCCAAAGGGUAAAAUAGCUGGAUUUCUUUAAGCAGUAGCAUUUAUACAAUCUGGGAGAAUUGAAUUUUCAAUCAAAUCCUUACUUCCUCACUCAGUGACCCACUAUGGCUCCCUAAUGCUGCCAUAUCAAAUCUCUAUUCCUCUGCCUGCAUUUUAAAAGCAAAAAUUUCUGGUGACCUGACAUCAAGCAGGCUAUGGAUUUUUCAAGCAUUUUUGUCUAAUAGCGACCAGGACCUAUAGUAUCAAACUAGCAAUCAAAUAGCCAGUUGCCAGCCUAGUUCAGUGUUCCUCUUGAAUUAAAAGCUGCAAAAUUUAAGACAGGGGCUCAAGGGGAGUUCAUUGUCACAGAGACAAAGCUGGCCAUCCUUUCUUGAAAAAAAAUCUUUGACUGUUUUAUUUUAGUAAUAUAAAAAAAAAAACAGGCCAAAUUCUUCAAUCAGUUUCCUUGAGUGAGUGAAAAUGUUCCACUUCAACAUAACAAGGAUGCAUCUUUAACUAAACGAGUGGGAGUUGCACAAAGGCAAAUGAAACUCUAGUAUAUCUGCGCUGUGAUUGUCAACAUCUAUGAAUAUUCAGUUCAAUGCUGAAUUCUGUUUAACGUUGAAUCACUUCAGGAAAUCCAAACUCUCAUUACACAUGGGUGAGUGUGUUUCCUUAAGGAGGUACAGUACUUGGCAUCUCCUAGAUGCGUGUGAAUCACCACUUCGUCUGGCUGCUAUACAAGUACGCAUUGUUUUUUUGAAUAAGAGGGUAAAAAGUCACAUAAAACACUGCAUGCUACAAAUGGCUGGGGAAUAAUUUGACUUGCCUUGGUGCAACUUAAUUUACACAUUGGACUUCAAGAAAAAAAAAAAAAGAACAACUCUUCCAUAAAUACUGCUUAGUCUGGGCACAUAAACCAUGAAUGGCUUUGAUUAUUUUUUUUUCAUUGAAUUCUUCUUGCCUUUUUUGGGGAUUAUACUGUUUUUAAGAUAAAACUACUCAAAGACAGGGAGAAAAUUAAAUAGAAUGAACAUAGGGUAAGAGGGGCUUGCAGUAGGCAAAAUAGAACAGAAAGACAACAUAAAUUUUUCUCAGAUUUCUAAAACAUAACCAUGUAUUUCUGACACUAUGAAUAUAGCAUACUUCCUUCUUUAUAGGACUGAAUUUUUCUGACACUAUGAAUAUAGAAUACUUCCUUCUUUAUAGGACUGAAUUUUUUCCCCCAAAAUGUCUGAUUUUUAGUCAUAUUUAAGGUUUGACAUAUUUUUUCCAGAAAAUAAAUAUAAUGAACUUGUCUUUUAGCUCAGACAACACCCAGGGGAUAUUGCUUUAAAUGGGAUGUUCAUGUUGAUUUUGCAAAUUAUGCUUAUUCUAUACGAGGUCACCAUCUCUGAAGUUUUGUAUACAUGAAGAUGUUUAGAUAAAUACUGUAUGCAGAGAUAUUUAUUUGAGCGUUUGUAUUAGUAAAGGGAAAAUUAGACUAUAACUAGAAUAUUAUCUUGAUAUUUCCAAACACCUUGGAAAACCAUGACUCAAAAAGAAGCAUGUACUCCAAAGUUCACUGCAGCACUAUUUACAAUAGCUAAGACAUGGAAACAACCUAAAUGUCCAUAGGAGUGGAUAAAGAAGAUGUGGUACAUACACACAGUGGAAUAGUCUCCAUCAUUAAAAGGAAAGAAAUAAUGGCAUUUACAGCAACAUGAAUGGACCUAGAAAUUAUCAUGCUAAGUGAAGUUAGUCAGACAGUGAGACACCAACAUCAUAUGCUAUCACUUACAUGCAGAAUCUAAAAAAUGGACCCAGUGGAGUUCCCAUUCUGGUGCAGCAGAAAUGAAUCCAACCAGGAACCAUAAGGUUGCAGGUUCAAUCCCUGGCCUCGCUUGGUGGGUUAAGCAUCUGGUGUUGCCAUGAGCUGUGGUGUAGGCUGCAGAUGUGGCUCAGAUCUAGCGUUGCUGUGGCUGUGGUGUAGGCCAGCAGCUGCAGCUCCAACUGGACCCCUAGCCUGGGAACCUCCCUAUGCCACAGGUGCAGCCCUAACAAGCAAAAAAUAAAAUUAAAUUAAAUUAAAAUUAAAAAAUAAAAAAAGGACCCAGUAAACUUUUUUGCAGAACAGAUACUGACUCAAAGACUUUGAAAAACAUGGUUUCCAAAGGAGGUGGGUUGGGGUGGGGGGAUGGGCUGGGGGUUUGGGAUGGAAAUGCUAUAAAAUUUGGUUGUGAUAAUCAUUGUACAACUAUAAAUAUAAUAAAAUUCACUGAGUAA
RNAcentral lists this long non-coding RNA (5838 nucleotides) under Sus scrofa (pig). RNAcentral describes it as "lncRNA (ENSSSCG00060061941.1)". Lineage: Eukaryota; Metazoa; Chordata; Mammalia; Artiodactyla; Suidae. The record is from RNAcentral.